ACAGGGUCACCAGCCGCCCCAUGAGCCCCACAGCAGCGUGGCCACACCUGACCCAGCAGGGCAGCCACACGUCCGUUAACGGGAUGCCUCAGGGACACACAUGUCCAUAUCACAGAUGUGCAAACAGAGACCCAGGCUCCUGACGUCGACCGGCACCCUGGACUCCUGGUCCUCUGGCAUCACCUGAGCUUCCCGGUUUUGAGAUCAGCCCUGAGGAUCUGGCAGCGUUUGAAAAAUAACAUUUUCCUAAUUGCA
Long non-coding RNA from Suricata suricatta (meerkat), 255 nucleotides. RefSeq lists it as uncharacterized. The record is from RefSeq and is a predicted model, not a curated record. The transcript has 2 exons. Lineage: Eukaryota; Metazoa; Chordata; Mammalia; Carnivora; Herpestidae.